GACGAACGCUGGCGGCGUGCUUAACACAUGCAAGUCGAACGGUGAAGCGCCUUCCUUUUUGGUGGGUGUGGAUGAGUGGCGAACGGGUGAGUAACACGUGAGUAACCUGCCCCCUUCUUCUGGAUAACCGCAUGAAAGUGUGGCUAAUACGGGAUAUUCUGGGUCUGUCGCAUGAUGGGUCUGGGAAAGAUAUUGUUUCGGUGGGGGAUGGGCUCGCGGCCUAUCAGCUUGUUGGUGGGGUGAUGGCCUACCAAGGCGGUGACGGGUAGCCGGCCUGAGAGGGUGGACGGUCACACUGGGACUGAGACACGGCCCAGACUCCUACGGGAGGCAGCAGUGGGGAAUAUUGCACAAUGGGCGCAAGCCUGAUGCAGCGACGCCGCGUGAGGGAUGGAGGCCUUCGGGUUGUGAACGUCUUUCGCCAGUGAAGCAGGCCUGCCUCGUUUGUGGGUGGGUUGACGGUAGCUGGAUAAGAAGCGCCGGCUAACUACGUG
Molecule: ribosomal RNA, 494 nt
Filed under: uncultured bacterium
Lineage: Bacteria
Description: partial 16S ribosomal RNA
Rfam family: Bacterial small subunit ribosomal RNA
Source: RNAcentral